CACGCCCACUAUACUUUGCCACUCAGUUCCAUCUGUAGUUUACCACACCUGCAAUCAAUCUGCCUCAAUCAGCCACAGACUCAAAUAGGCAGCACCUGUGCACACAGCCCUUCCUUUGUUCAAAACCACAUGGAGGAUCUUUGAUGCUGGACAUGCUGUGUUUCCUGCCUUGUGGGCGUUAUUGCUCUAUAAACCACACACCCAAACACGUAACCAUACAAACCUGUAACGUGUCUUCUUGAUAAUGCUUGGAAUAAAGGAAUUGUGGAAUCGAAAGUGAUUGGACAAGAACUGUUCUUACCGACACCUCCACUGGUCUCACGCCAGCCACCCACAACCCUCUACACCUCCUUUUCACUCGUCUUAAAUACAUAGUUGUUUUAAAUAAAGUAAUGCUGGUUGUUUUGCCCAGUUUCAAAGUA
Long non-coding RNA from Perca flavescens (yellow perch), 422 nucleotides. RefSeq lists it as uncharacterized. The record is from RefSeq and is a predicted model, not a curated record. NCBI's taxonomy places the organism in Eukaryota, Metazoa, Chordata, Actinopteri, Perciformes, Percidae. The transcript has 2 exons.